GAGGAGGUGAGACAGAAAGAGGAGAUGCGCUUAGUGGAGGAGGCUCGUCUGAUACGCCUGGAGGAGGAGAAGAAACUGGCAGAAGAGAAGAUCCGAGAAGAGGAG
This is a long non-coding RNA of Notothenia coriiceps (black rockcod), 105 nucleotides long. RefSeq lists it as uncharacterized. The record is from RefSeq and is a predicted model, not a curated record. The transcript is spliced from 3 exons. NCBI's taxonomy places the organism in Eukaryota, Metazoa, Chordata, Actinopteri, Perciformes, Nototheniidae.